GAUGAACGCUGGCGGCGUGCCUAAUACAUGCAAGUCGAGCGAAUGGAUUAAGAGCUUGCUCUUAUGAAGUUAGCGGCGGACGGGUGAGUAACACGUGGGUAACCUGCCCAUAAGACUGGAUAACUCCGGGAAACCGGGGCUAAUACCGGAUAACAUUUUGAACCGCAUGGUUCGAAAUUGAAAGGCGGCUUCGGCUGUCACUUAUGGAUGGACCCGCGUCGCAUUAGCUAGUUGGUGAGGUAACGGCUCACCAAGGCAACGAUGCGUAGCCGACCUGAGAGGGGGAUCGGCCACACUGGGACUGGGACACGGCCCAGACUCCUACGGGAGGCAGCAGUAGGGAAUCUUCCGCAAUGGACGAAAGUCUGACGGAGCAACGCCGCGUGAGUGAUGAAGGCUUUCGGGUCGUAAAACUCUGUUGUUAGGGAAGAGCAAGUGCUAGUUGAAUAAGCUGGCACCUUGACGGUACCUAACCAGAAAGCCACGGCUAACUACGUGCCAGCAGCCGCCGUAA
Molecule: ribosomal RNA, 514 nt
Filed under: uncultured bacterium
Lineage: Bacteria
Description: partial 16S ribosomal RNA
Rfam family: Bacterial small subunit ribosomal RNA
Source: RNAcentral